Molecule: ribosomal RNA, 518 nt
Filed under: uncultured Nitrospira sp.
Lineage: Bacteria; Pseudomonadati; Nitrospirota; Nitrospiria; Nitrospirales; Nitrospiraceae
Description: bacterial SSU rRNA
Rfam family: Bacterial small subunit ribosomal RNA
Source: RNAcentral
AGAGUUUGAUCCUGGCUCAGAACGAACGCUGGCGGCGCGCCUAACACAUGCAAGUCGAACGAGAGACUCUUCGGAGUAGUAAAGUGGCGAACGGGUGAGGAAUACAUGGGUAACCUGCCCUUGAGAAGGGGAUAACCCGCCGAAAGGCGAGCUAAUACCGUAUACGCUUGUCGCCUCACGGGGUAAUAAGGAAAGCUAAACCGAGGGUUUGGCGCUCAAGGAGGGGCUCACGUCCUAUCAGCUUGUUGGUAGGGUAACGGCCUACCAAGGCAGCGACGGGUAGCUGGUCUGAGAGGAUGAUCAGCCACACUGGCACUGAGAUACGGGCCAGACUCCUACGGGAGGCAGCAGUGAGGAAUAUUGCGCAAUGGGCGAAAGCCUGACGCAGCGACGCCGCGUGGGGGAUGAAGGUUUUCGAAUUGUAAACCCCUUUCAGGAGGAAAGAGAAGGUGGGUUACCACCUAGACGGUACCUCCAGAAGAAGCCACGGCUAACUUCGUGCCAGCAGCCGCGGUAAU